CUUGUCCCUUGUUGGUUCCUCCAGUUAACCCACGUAACGGCACAUGUGCGCAUCAAAUGCGAUGUGACGCAGGCAUAUUGCAGGCCAGCUAUAAACACUAUUGAGUUUACCAACGUAUUUUAUUGAUUUAUGCAUGCAAGAAGGGGAUAUUCUUCAAGGUGUAUAUUUAAGUUUUACAAGUGGACCACAGAAGAGAGAGGCCCAACAGGAUGGCCAGUGUGCUCUGUAGUAGAGCCAGGCUGGUGACAUACCUGCCAGGGCUUCACGUACUUGUCCGGCGGAUCGCUGGACCCAACCAGAGAACAUUCACUGGUGCUGGAUCCUCUGGCUCUGAUGAGCCUCGAUUAGCCGUCAC
Oncorhynchus masou masou (cherry salmon) is the source of this 355-nucleotide long non-coding RNA. RefSeq lists it as uncharacterized. Lineage: Eukaryota; Metazoa; Chordata; Actinopteri; Salmoniformes; Salmonidae. The transcript is spliced from 3 exons. The record is from RefSeq and is a predicted model, not a curated record.